Schizosaccharomyces cryophilus OY26 is the source of this 125-nucleotide ribosomal RNA. The record is from Rfam. Lineage: Eukaryota; Fungi; Ascomycota; Schizosaccharomycetes; Schizosaccharomycetales; Schizosaccharomycetaceae.
AUCUACGGCCACAACUAGGCGGAACACCAGGUCCCGUCCGAUCACUGCAGUUAAGUGAAAACGUCUGAAGGUCUCGUUCAUACUAUGGUUGGAGACGAACAUGGGAAUCCCGGGUGCCGUAGGCU